Molecule: non-coding RNA, 913 nt
Organism: Centropristis striata (black sea bass)
Lineage: Eukaryota; Metazoa; Chordata; Actinopteri; Perciformes; Serranidae
Source: the annotation of a RefSeq genome assembly
CAUGUUUUUAUUUCUAUCUGAGUGUCUUGUGGUCUCAGCGUGGAGCUGCAGCAGUGAGCAGGAAACAGCUGCAGCUCUCUGACUCUGUGUGUUUGCAUACAUGUGUCCUCCUCUCUGCUUCCAGCCAUAAGAGGCUGCUGUCCAUCAGUGGCUGUCCAGGCCUUUCACACACACAUGAUGAUGUCACUGACUCUGCUGCUGGCCACCCUGGGGCUCCUUGUUCAGGCCUCAUCAGGAGAAAUCCUCGUGACUCAGUCUCCUGGAUCUCAGUCUGCUGUUCCAGGACAGACUGUCUCCAUCAGCUGUAAAGCCAGUUCAAGUGUUGCUAGGCGCCUCCACUGGUACCUUCAGAAACCUGGAGAAGCUCCUAAACUCCUGAUUUAUUUAGCUUCAACCCGUCAGUCUGGAGUUUCAGAUCGUUUCAGUGGAAGUGGAUCUCAUUAUGACUUCACUCUGACCAUCAGUGGAGUUCAGGCUGAAGAUUCAGGAGUUUACUACUGUCAGCAUGGUUACGGCACCCCGUACACGUUCGGUGGAGGAACCAGACUGGAUGUUAACUUGGGUGGAAUCGUCCCCACCCUGACGGUGCUGCCCCCCUCCAGUGAGCAGCUGCAGCAGGGGACGGCCACGCUCAUGUGCCUGGCCAACAAGGGCUUCCCCUCAGACUGGAGUCUGUCCUGGAAGGUGGACGGCAGCAGCGGCAGCAGAGGCUGGGAGCAGAGCAGCAGCCCCGGGGUGCUGGAGAAGGACGGCCACUACAGCUGGAGCAGCACCCUGAGGCUCUCUGCAGACCAGUGGAGGAAGGUGGGCUCUGUGACCUGUGAGGCCACCCAGGGCUCCCAGACUCCGCUCUCAGAGACUCUGAGGAGAGACCAGUGUUCCCAGUCCUGAUCUGACUCACUGCUUUUCCUCU